UACGUAGGGGGCAAGCGUUGUCCGGAAUCAUUGGGCGUAAAGCGCGUGUAGGCGGCCCGGUAAGUCCGCUGUGAAAGUCGGGGGCUCAACCCUCAAAUGCCGGUGGAUACUGUCGGGCUAGAGUGCGGGAGAGGCGAGUGGAAUUCCUGGUGUAGCGGUGAAAUGCGCAGAUAUCAGGAGGAACACCAAUUGCGAAGGCAGCUCGCUGGAACGUAACUGACGCUGAGACGCGAAAGCGUGGGGAGCAAACAGG
This 253-nucleotide ribosomal RNA is filed under the name uncultured bacterium. RNAcentral describes it as "partial 16S ribosomal RNA". It matches the Rfam family "Bacterial small subunit ribosomal RNA", at positions 524 to 776 of the family's 1533-position model. The record is from RNAcentral.